This 320-nucleotide ribosomal RNA is filed under the name uncultured eukaryote. RNAcentral describes it as "partial 18S ribosomal RNA". It matches the Rfam family "Eukaryotic small subunit ribosomal RNA", at positions 1470 to 1796 of the family's 1831-position model. The record is from RNAcentral.
CCCUUAGAUGUUCUGGGCUGCACGCGUGCUACACUGAUUAUUUCAACAAGUGUUUUAACUGGAGAGUUUGCGUAAUCCUGAAAUGCUAUCGUGAUGGGAGUAGAGUAUUGUAUUUGUUAAUCUUUAACGAGGAAUUCCUAGUAAGUGUAGGUUUAUAAGUUGUUCUGAUUACGUCCCUGCCCUUUGUACACACCGCCCGUCGCACCAACCGAUUGGAUGUUUUGUUGAAAUAUGUGGGUGCUUGUUGGGUGAAUUCAUUUUUGCUUGAUAGACAGAAACGUAUUAAAACUGAAUAUCUAGAGGAUGGUGAAGUCGUAACA